This is a small nuclear RNA of Hemiscyllium ocellatum (epaulette shark), 182 nucleotides long. RefSeq annotates it as U2 spliceosomal RNA. The transcript has a single exon. Lineage: Eukaryota; Metazoa; Chordata; Chondrichthyes; Orectolobiformes; Hemiscylliidae. The record is from RefSeq and is a predicted model, not a curated record.
AACGAAAAGCCUUUUGGCAAGGUCAAGUAUAGUAUCUGUUCUGAUCAGUUUACUCUCUGACAUGUCCCUUGACUAGGGAAAUAUAUUAAUUUUUUUAAUUUCAUCAACUUGAUGGUGGGGCUAUUAAAAGAAAAGAGGAUUCUAUUUUGAGUGUUUCAGUGGCACAGUAGUAGUGUCCCUUC